This 502-nucleotide ribosomal RNA is filed under the name uncultured Acidobacteriota bacterium. RNAcentral's name for it is "bacterial SSU rRNA". It matches the Rfam family "Bacterial small subunit ribosomal RNA", at positions 1000 to 1503 of the family's 1533-position model. The record is from RNAcentral. Lineage: Bacteria; Pseudomonadati; Acidobacteriota.
UCCGAAGGGAGCUUCCGCAAGGACACUCGUAGAGGUGCUGCAUGGCUGUCGUCAGCUCGUGUCGUGAGAUGUUGGGUUAAGUCCCGCAACGAGCGCAACCCUUGUUUGCUGUUGCCAUCACGUUAUGGUGGGCACUCUGCAAAGACUGCCGGUGAUAAACCGGAGGAAGGUGGGGAUGACGUCAAGUCAGCAUGGCCUUUAUGUCUGGGGCUACACACGUGCUACAAUGGCCGGUACAAACCGUCGCGAUACCGCAAGGUGGAGCUAAUCGGAGAAAGCCGGUCUCAGUUCGGAUAGCAGGCUGCAACUCGCCUGCUUGAAGUUGGAAUCGCUAGUAAUCGCGGAUCAGCACGCCGCGGUGAAUACGUUCCCGGGCCUUGUACACACCGCCCGUCACAUCACGAAAGCCGGUUGUACUAGAGGUCGCCAUAUCAACCCGCAAGGGAGAGAGGCGCCUAAGGUAUGGUCGGUGAUUGGGGUGAAGUCGUAACAAGGUAGCCGU